AGCAGCCGCGGUAAUUCCAGCUCCAAUAGCGUAUAUUAAAGUUGUUGCAGUUAAAAAGCUCGUAGUUGAAUUUCGGGAUUGACGUGAUGGUCAUGCCUUAAGGGGUAUGAACUGUUACAGUUGAUUUCUCACCUUCUGGAGAAACUUGAUGUCCUUUAUUGGGUGUCUUGCGGAUCCAGGACCUUUACCUUGAAAAAAUUAGAGUGUUUAAAGCAGGCAUUUUUGCUCGAAUACAUUAGCAUGGAAUAAUAGAAUAGGACGGCAUGGUUCUAUUUUGUUGGUUUCUAGGAUCACCGUAAUGAUUAAUAGGGAUAGUUGGGGGCAUUAGUAUUCAAUUGUCAGAGGUGAAAUUCUUGGAUUUAUUGAAGACUAACUACUGCGAAAGCAUUUGCCAAGGAUGUUUUCAUUAAUCAAGAACGAAAGUUAGGGGAUCGAAGACGAUCAGAUACCGUCGUAGUCUUAACCAUAAACUAUGCCGACUAGGAAUCAGACGAUGUUAAUUUUUUAAUGACUCGUUUAG
Molecule: ribosomal RNA, 520 nt
Filed under: uncultured Entrophospora
Lineage: Eukaryota; Fungi; Glomeromycota; Glomeromycetes; Entrophosporales; Entrophosporaceae
Description: SSU rRNA
Rfam family: Eukaryotic small subunit ribosomal RNA
Source: RNAcentral